RNAcentral lists this ribosomal RNA (465 nucleotides) under uncultured bacterium. Its description in RNAcentral is "bacterial SSU rRNA". It matches the Rfam family "Bacterial small subunit ribosomal RNA", at positions 338 to 795 of the family's 1533-position model. The record is from RNAcentral.
CCUACGGGGGGCAGCAGUGGGGAAUUUUGGACAAUGGGCGCAAGCCUGAUCCAGCAAUGCCGCGUGCAGGAUGAAGGCCUUCGGGUUGUAAACUGCUUUUGUACGGAACGAAACGGCGAGCUCUAAUAAAGCUCGCUAAUGACGGUACCGUAAGAAUAAGCACCGGCUAACUACGUGCCAGCAGCCGCGGUAAUACGUAGGGUGCAAGCGUUAAUCGGAAUUACUGGGCGUAAAGCGUGCGCAGGCGGUGAUGUAAGACAGAUGUGAAAUCCCCGGGCUCAACCUGGGACCUGCAUUUGUGACUGCAUCGCUAGAGUACGGUAGAGGGGGAUGGAAUUCCGCGUGUAGCAGUGAAAUGCGUAGAUAUGCGGAGGAACACCGAUGGCGAAGGCAAUCCCCUGGACCUGUACUGACGCUCAUGCACGAAAGCGUGGGGAGCAAACAGGAUUAGAUACCCCGGUAGUC